UACGUAGGGUGCGAGCGUUGUCCGGAAUUAUUGGGCGUAAAGAGCUUGUAGGCGGUUUGUCGCGUCUGCUGUGAAAAUCCGGGGCUCAACCCCGGACUUGCAGUGGGUACGGGCAGACUGGAAUGUGGUAGGGGAGACUGGAAUUCCUGGUGUAGCGGUGGAAUGCGCAGAUAUCAGGAGGAACACCGAUGGCGAAGGCAGGUCUCUGGGCCACUACUGACGCUGAGAAGCGAAAGCAUGGGGAGCGAACAGG
Molecule: ribosomal RNA, 253 nt
Filed under: uncultured bacterium
Lineage: Bacteria
Description: partial 16S ribosomal RNA
Rfam family: Bacterial small subunit ribosomal RNA
Source: RNAcentral